Molecule: small nucleolar RNA, 138 nt
Organism: Tachyglossus aculeatus (Australian echidna)
Lineage: Eukaryota; Metazoa; Chordata; Mammalia; Monotremata; Tachyglossidae
Source: RefSeq, a predicted model, not a curated record
UCCCUCUCAGGAUGGCACCUGGAGAGUUUCCAGUACUCUACCAGUCUUGACUACAGAAGGGAGAGUCAAGCAGAGGCCUACCCUUUCUAUUCCUAGCUUGGUCAGUGGCUAGCGAGUGGAAGGCAACCUGCUACAAGU